This is a long non-coding RNA of Alosa sapidissima (American shad), 647 nucleotides long. RefSeq lists it as uncharacterized. The transcript is spliced from 3 exons. The record is from RefSeq and is a predicted model, not a curated record. Lineage: Eukaryota; Metazoa; Chordata; Actinopteri; Clupeiformes; Clupeidae.
UGCCGCUGGAGACUUGAGAUGUGUAGAUUCUGCCAUCGAGUCUGUUCUAGAAGAUAUCGACAGCGCAUUCAUUUUAAAAGGGAAACAGAGAAACUCCAGGCAUUUGUUGAUAAAGAUGUUUUUGCCGUCCUUCCUACAGGAUUCGGCAAAAGUUUAAUGGGACUCAAUGAAAACCCAUUAGUCAUUGUUGUUUCUCCUUUGUCGCACUCAUGGAGGACCAAGUGAAAGAAGCAACUGAAAUGGGCAUCACGGCGAUGCAACUCAACGUGGAUAUAGCCAGCGGUCAUUGCCAGCUCCUUUUCGGAAGACCGGAAUCCUGGCUGCUGAACAAGUGGAGGGACAUGCUAGGCUCCGAUGUUUUUUAAGCCAACGUAAUGGGUAUCAUCGUGGACGAAGUUUAUCUUACUUACAAAUGGGGUCAGGCUGUAAAAGGGCAGACGCCAUUUCGCGACAGCUUCGCCAAGUUGGGAGACCUUAGAUCCUUAGUUAAAGCUGGUACACCUGUGCUGACAUUGACGGCUUUUGCUGAUCGGGAAUCCAGAGCCAGGGUUAUGAAACAGCUUCAGAUGGACAAUCCAAUCAUUUUGGAGCCCAAACAGAACAAACAUCAGACUGGGUCUGAUUAAAGUACCUGGCCAUACACUGGA